This 253-nucleotide ribosomal RNA is filed under the name uncultured bacterium. Its description in RNAcentral is "partial 16S ribosomal RNA". It matches the Rfam family "Bacterial small subunit ribosomal RNA", at positions 524 to 776 of the family's 1533-position model. The record is from RNAcentral.
UACGUAUGGUGCAAGCGUUAUCCGGAUUUACUGGGCGUAAAGGGAGCGCAGGCGGUGCGCCAAGUCUGAUGUGAAACCCCGGGGCUCAACCCCGGGCAUGCAUUGGAAACUGGCGGGCUGGAGUGCCGGAGAGGUAAGCGGAAUUCCUAGUGUAGCGGUGAAAUGCGUAGAUAUUAGGAGGAACACCAGUGGCGAAGGCGGCCUACUGGACGGUGACUGACGCUGAGGCUCGAAAGCGUGGGGAGCAAACAGG